GUUUUAUAUCGUUGAAGUUAGAUUAAGCAAUUAGUGGUUUUUGUUUUUUUUGGUUUAUGGGUUGAUUUUUUGAUAAAGAUAAAGAUGCCUCUUCUUUCAGCAGCAAGAUCUAUACUUGUUAGCUUUGUUCUGGAGGCACAUAU
RNAcentral lists this small nucleolar RNA (143 nucleotides) under Arabidopsis lyrata subsp. lyrata. RNAcentral's name for it is "Brassica rapa small nucleolar RNA 775". It matches the Rfam family "Brassica rapa small nucleolar RNA 775". Rfam says of the family: Name based on close proximity to miR775. The record is from Rfam by way of RNAcentral. Lineage: Eukaryota; Viridiplantae; Streptophyta; Magnoliopsida; Brassicales; Brassicaceae.